RNAcentral lists this ribosomal RNA (337 nucleotides) under Craspedostauros australis. RNAcentral's name for it is "partial Bacterial large subunit ribosomal RNA". It matches the Rfam family "Bacterial large subunit ribosomal RNA", at positions 1602 to 1949 of the family's 2925-position model. Lineage: Eukaryota; Bacillariophyta; Bacillariophyceae; Mastogloiales; Achnanthaceae. The record is from RNAcentral.
AGACUUCCAAGAAAAGCUCGCAAUGUCGUAGAUAAAUAAUGCCUGUACCAUAACCGACACAGGUGGGUAGGUAGAGUAUACUAAGGGGCGCGAGAUAACUCUCUCUAAGGAACUCGGCAAAAUGACUCCGUAACUUCGGGAGAAGGAGUGCCUUAUUUAUAAGGUUGCAACAACAAGAUCCAAGCAACUGUUUACCAAAAACACAGGUCUCCGCUAAGUCGUAAGACGAUGUAUGGGGGCUGACGCCUGCCCAGUGCCAGAAGGUUAAAGAAGUUGGUUAGCAUUAGCGAAGCUGAUGACUGAAGCCCUGGUGAACGGCGGCCGUAACAAUAACGGU